This 497-nucleotide ribosomal RNA is filed under the name uncultured bacterium. RNAcentral describes it as "partial 16S ribosomal RNA". It matches the Rfam family "Bacterial small subunit ribosomal RNA", at positions 28 to 507 of the family's 1533-position model. The record is from RNAcentral.
GAUGAACGCUGGCGGCGUGCCUAAUACAUGCAAGUCGAGCGAACAGACGAGGAGCUUGCUCCUCUGACGUUAGCGGCGGACGGGUGAGUAACACGUGGAUAACCUACCUAUAAGACUGGGAUAACUUCGGGAAACCGGAGCUAAUACCGGAUAAUAUAUUGAACCGCAUGGUUCAAUAGUGAAAGACGGUUUUGCUGUCACUUAUAGAUGGAUCCGCGCCGCAUUAGCUAGUUGGUAAGGUAACGGCUUACCAAGGCAACGAUGCGUAGCCGACCUGAGAGGGUGAUCGGCCACACUGGAACUGAGACACGGUCCAGACUCCUACGGGAGGCAGCAGUCGGGAAUCUUCCGCAAUGGGCGAAAGCUUGACGGAGCAACGCCGCGUGAGUGAUGAAGGUCUUCGGAUCGUAAAACUCUGUUAUUAGGGAAGAACAAAUGUGUAAGUAACUAUGCACGUCUUGACGGUACCUAAUCAGAAAGCCACGGCUAACUACGUG